AAUGCAAUUUAACCUUUCUUUCUUUCUCUCUUUUUUAUAUUUUUGUUACAGAGAAUGGAGUAAACCGGUUCGUUUUCAUCAGUAAUAUCACGGCCUGGAAGGAUGCUCAGAGCUACUGCAGACAGUAUUACACAGACCUUGUCGUCAUUCAGAAUCAAACUGAGAAUAACCAGCUGAGUGUGCUGAUGAAACCAUAUACAAAUGCUUGGAUUGGACUCUUCAGAGACGUGUGGAAAUGGUCAGAUGAAACAAAUGUCUCCACUUCCUCCUUUACUAGACUACCUUUACAAUCUGGGCUGCGUAGUCCUUGUGGUGUUUCAGAUCCUGGUGGUAUAAUCAGUUACCAGAUCUGCUCAAACGUUCUCCCUUUCCUCUGCAUGCACCGUGCAAAGAAACAGAUUGUAAGACUGAGGGUCAAAUCUGGUCAGAAUCUUAAUGAUCCUGCAGUGAUGACUGUUAUCUUACAGUGGAUAAAACAGAAGCUGAAGGAAUGGGGUAUAGAAAAGGAAACAAAUGUGACAUGGAGAGUUCAGGCAAAUGGAUAUGUUUUCAUGAGUUACACAUUUUUAAGGUAAUUUAUCACAUUACACUUAUUAUUUCUCACAAAUUCUAAUAAUGUUCUUCUCUGUAAUGGAUUUAAACACGAUUACACUCUCCUUAUGUACACCUAGUUUCAGCGGAAGCAGUGGUGGUCCUGGCUCACUUUGAAUCCAGCUGUGUGCUCAAAAGUGUCAACACCGUGGCAGGACAUAUAAAAGGAGUAAUUCUGUGCCGGUUGUGAAGAUCAGCAGUACAUGUAAAAUGUGUUCAUAUGAUUGAUAUAUUGUAAACUCCCUUAAAACAGUUAAAUGCAACUUAUUAUUUAAUUUGAGGUGUAUUUUAGCACAGCUGUGAUUUCAUAGUAGGGGUAGUAGUAGGGGAUGUAAUUCCGUUUCUUAGUAAAAAAAAUUCAUCUUUUAUUGUAAAAUGACUAGUACAGUGAAAGAUAAUUUUCUUUAUACCAUUCCAUAAAUAAAAUCUUUACAGCAAUCUUAAUACCAAGUCUUUUUGUACACAUGCAGACCUAAAUUGGGCAAAUUCAGAAUUUAGGCCUCUCUUCAAUUAAUGAGUGUGAAUUAGAGCUGAACUGACACACAGGAUGCUGAAUUGUAUAAUAUUCUGGAAAAUUGUGUUCUCUUAAAAGUAAAAGAAAUAUGAAGAAAUUAAUUACACACACAGGCCUUC
RNAcentral lists this long non-coding RNA (1224 nucleotides) under Sinocyclocheilus grahami. Its description in RNAcentral is "lncRNA (ENSSGRG00000019317.1)". The record is from RNAcentral. Lineage: Eukaryota; Metazoa; Chordata; Actinopteri; Cypriniformes; Cyprinidae.